GUGUUAACGUUUACUGAUGAAACAAUAUUAACAUUGAUAUAAACAGUCAUGUUUGUGUAACUGGCAUAUUAAAUAUUACAAAUGUUCUACGUGAACUAUAGAAAUACUUAAGAUAUAGAUAUUUCUUUAAUUUUUUUUUUGUAUCAAAAAUGAAAAUUUUAUAACUACAAGUAAAUACAAAAAUAUGAACUCGGACAAUAGGUAAGUUGAGUACGAUGAAUUUUCCUUGCGUUUCAACAUCCAAUUUCCUCAUGUUGUUUAUAGAAAUCAAUCCCUUAUGAGAUCACACACAAACUGAUACUGUAUAAAAUCAAAUAGAUCGACAGUAGUUUAAAGGUCACGACAUAAUACAUGCAAGCGACGGCAAAGUACGAUUUUUAACACUUGCGUGACCGUCAAAUAAAGAUGAACAAGAAUGUGUCCAAAGUACACGUAUGCCCCAUCCGCACUAUCAUUUUCUAUGUUCAGUAGAGUGUGAAAAAGAGAUAAAAACUAUAAUUUGGCAUUAACAUUAGAAAUAUCAUAGCAAAAGAAACAUGUGUACUAAGUUUCAAGUUGAUUGGACUUCAACUUCAUCAAAAACUACCUUGACCAAAAACUUUAUCCUGAAGCGGGACAGACGAACGAACGGACGAACGAACGGGCGGACGAAAAAACGAAUGGACGGACGAACGGACGCACAGACAAGAAAACAUAAUGCCCAUAAAUGGGGCAUACAUUUAAAAAUAAAUCAAUUAAUUACCAGUUCAACUAUAAACAAUGAAUUUAAUUCAAUCUUGCCAUGUUUGAUUUUUUUUACUUCAAAAUUUGAGUAAUAUCAGAAACAGUUAUAUACGUUUUCAAUCGUUAUAUCAAUAUUUUUUUUAACAAAACAUAAUUGAAUAGAAACGACAAGCGACAGUACAAUUUAAAAAGUUUUAACAUUGAAUUAUUUAGCAUCUGUUGUGCUUCAAGUUGUGUGCAAUGGAUGAACAAUUAGAAAAGAACAAUGGAGCUUCAAAUAAGGCAACAAAUACCUUAGUGUUUAAGAAUACGUACACUAGUUUUCAAAGAAAUCGCAAAGAAAGCCGGGACUUAUGUAGAAGAAGAAUGAAACAUGAGUUAGGUAUGCUUCCGAUUUUCGGACGACAUUAUUUGUAUAAAAAGAAUACUUUUAGUUUUAAUAUUUUC
RNAcentral lists this long non-coding RNA (1170 nucleotides) under Mytilus galloprovincialis (Mediterranean mussel). The record is from RNAcentral. Lineage: Eukaryota; Metazoa; Mollusca; Bivalvia; Mytilida; Mytilidae.